CACUCAGAGAGAAGGUGGUGAUAAGCAGAGUGAAGGAUUCACAACAAGAGGAACAACAGCCUCCAAAGAGUCUGGACUGAAGGACACCAUCCUCAGGGCUGUUUUCCUUUUUUUUAAAACUGAUGAAGCAAAACUUGAGAAGUUCUGGUGAGGCCUUUACUGUUUUCUACAAAGAUACUUCAUGUAGUUUCUGUUUAUUGGAUUUAAAGGGAUAUUCCAGUGUAAAAUUAAUUUAGGGCCAAACACACCCUAACACUGAGUUACAAACCACCUCGAGAGAUGAAUGUUGCCGACCGCUUGCUUCUCUAGUUAUACCAAAUUUAGUAACGACCACAUGAUAGCAAUACACAGCGGUCUGAGGAGCCAUAAACAAACCUCAACCAAAACCAAAGAAGAAAAAACAGUCAUGAUCUGUGAGUCAAGAUUUCCCCUCAAACCACCUUAUUCAUAUCCAUCAUUCAGAAAAACAUAUUUACUGAUAAUUAUUUUUACAAACUGUAAUGCAGGGGAUUAAAUACAUAAAAGCAGACUCUACAUUCUUAAAAAAAUAGUAUUUUGAUGUUUUUUUGUUAAAACUUAUUCAAACUUAUUCAAUAAUCGUGUGGUGAGGAAAAGUGGGUCAAGAAAUAUGAAGGAGCGCUGUUGCCCUCUGCUGGUCAAACGUCGAACAGGACACUCUGACCUGAAUGAAAAAGACUGGAAAUACUGUGACUCAGCAGAGAUGUCAUAUCAUAUGACAGGAUAUAUUACAGAUUUAAUAAUACAAAUUUGUUUGGUAUAAAUCCCUCCCAAUAAUCUCACAGCAUUUAAGGUUUAUUAUUAUUAUUUUAAGGUUUUCAAUUCAUUAUCAUUUACUCCAAAUCAUAAAUCAUUUCUCAAUUGCAGGUUCAGUCAAAAUAAAAACAAUCAGAUAUUUAUUCCAAACCAGGCAGCUAUAUUUAGAAAAUCAGAUGGUCGCUGAUAUAUUUUAAGUGUAACAAAACACAUUACUAAUACUGACAUGUCAAUGCAUAAGCAGCCUUUUAACAUUGCACAUGCUCAACGUGGAGUGAGUUUGCUUCACUUUGUGGGGUUAUAGAAUAAGUGUUUGAGGAUUAUAAACUAAUGAAAAGAUAUUUGGUAGGUUCAUUUGCACUAUCAGUUGAAAUAAUUAAUGUUCCUUUGUUAAACAUUCACUUCUAUAAUUCCUCCCUCUGUUCCGAAACACUUUCAGGCACACACAUUUUCCUUGCUUUAAGCCCUGCUAAUACAUCAACAUUAUAAAGGUUUUUCACCUAAAUACUUAAUAACCUUAAAAAUAUCAAUUUCUGUAUGAAUAUACAAUCACUGACAGUUUAUGAGGGCAAGUCAAUGUGGUACAAUCUUAAUUUGUAGAAACAAGAAAGUGCAAUAAAUGCUGCGAGUCUUUGACAGGAAAAAUAAUAAAGGGAAUUAGUGUAUGUGAUUAACAAAAUACACACUCAUUCAAAUUACCUUUGACAAAUUAGGCUACAACCUGCCAGCACAUUAUCACCAGAGUGGUGAAAACAGAUGUUGAGAGGCAGCUGAGGGCGGCAGUAGCUCAGGAGGUAGAGCGGUUGUCCAAUAUCUAAAAGGUUGGUGGUUCAAUUCCCCCCAUCCCUAGUCUGUCCAUUGUGUCCUUGGGGUAGACACUUAACCCACCUUGUUCCCAGUGUGUGUCCUCCACUGGUGCAUGAUUGUGGGUGAUGUUUGGAGCGGCUGUGACUACUAAGGUAGUUUACCACCGCCAGGGUGUGACUGUGUGAAUGAAUGAUGUCUUCGAUGUAAAGAGCUUUGAGGGUCUCUGAUAAAGUGCUUGAAAAUCUAAUGACUUAUCAUUAUCAGUCUGACUCGGUGCUACUGAAAGAAAUUAGUUUGUAUGAUUAAAUAAAAAAUUUACACUUCAAGAUAUGGUGGUGGUUUGAGGGGGGUGGGUGGAAAAUUGGCUGAGGUUAAUUUUGUUAUCAGGUUAGUAGAAUCUGUUGUAGCUGGGAUAGAUGGUGUUCGUCUGAGCUGGGGUGGAGAUGGAGUUAUAUCUGUGUGUCUUCUUGCUUCAUGAAGUCUGGUUUAUGCAGUGGUAUGUCUGACAGUGGGCACUGAUAAUCCUACUGAGGCUGGGAACCUGGGUCACACCUGUGAUUGUAUAAAAACAAACAAAACAAAAAAACAGACAUCAGGUCACCAAACUCUAAAUAUGUUCUUGCCUCACUUAAUUUCUCAAAUUGAUUAGCAUGCAACAUUAACUUACAACUGUUUUAAUAUUGUCAUGAUCCAGGGCUGUUUCCUUGUGUUUUGGUUGUCUGUGUGCUCUCUCUCUCUUUCUCUUCCUGCAGCACUGGAGCAUGGCAGGGGGCGGAGCUGACUCGGCUGAUCAGGAACACACCUGCACCUCAUUGUGCUCAUCAGCUAGCCUUUAAAAGCCAGAUUCCUGUCCUGCUCUUUGCCAGAUGAUUUUCUCAGUCUUCCUCUCAAGCUGACUCACGCUGCCUCUCGUGUCCUCCUGCUUGUGCCUCCAGUCACUUUGUUUCAGUUGUUUUGUACUUCGUAGUUCUAGUUUUUUCCCUCAAAAUUUUCUGAGAUGAUUUUCAGUUUGUCUUUUGUUUCCCGUUGAACUUUCUAGUUGACUUUAUAUUCCUUUGUUACUUGCCCCACGUGGUAUAUUUGAGUUGUACUUUUAGUGUCAGAGGUUGUUUGAGUUUUUCUGUAAUUUUUCCUGACACUUGUUAUUCUUUGUUUUUAGUAGCUGUCCGUGCUUCCCGAGCCUUUUUACCCUGUGUAGUGAUUUUAUUGUUUUUUUCUUCUCGAUAUUUUUG
RNAcentral lists this long non-coding RNA (2813 nucleotides) under Xyrichtys novacula (pearly razorfish). The record is from RNAcentral. Lineage: Eukaryota; Metazoa; Chordata; Actinopteri; Labriformes; Labridae.